This 580-nucleotide ribosomal RNA is filed under the name uncultured bacterium. Its description in RNAcentral is "bacterial SSU rRNA". It matches the Rfam family "Bacterial small subunit ribosomal RNA", at positions 102 to 668 of the family's 1533-position model. The record is from RNAcentral.
ACGGGUGAGUAACACGUGGGCAACCUGCCUGUAAGACUGGGAUAACUUCGGGAAACCGAAGCUAAUACCGGAUAGGAUCUUCUCCUUCAUGGGAGAUGAUUGAAAGAUGGUUUCGGCUAUCACUUACAGAUGGGCCCGCGGUGCAUUAGCUAGUUGGUGAGGUAACGGCUCACCAAGGCAACGAUGCAUAGCCGACCUGAGAGGGUGAUCGGCCACACUGGGACUGAGACACGGCCCAGACUCCUACGGGAGGCAGCAGUAGGGUAUCUUCCGCAAUGGACGAAAGUCUGACGGAGCAACGCCGCGUGAGUGAUGAAGGCUUUCGGGUCGUAAAACUCUGUUGUUAGGGAAGAACAAGUACGAGAGUAACUGCUCGUACCUUGACGGUACCUAACCAGAAAGCCACGGCUAACUACGUGCCAGCAGCCGCGGUAAUACGUAGGUGGCAAGCGUUAUCCGGAAUUAUUGGGCGUAAAGCGCGCGCAGGCGGUUUCUUAAGUCUGAUGUGAAAGCCCACGGCUCAACCGUGGAGGGUCAUUGGAAACUGGGAAACUUGAGUGCAGAAGAGAAAAGCGGAAUU